GUAGGUAAAGGCUCUGAGUCCUUUAUCCCACUCCAUACAGAGAAGAUUUCACUUUUUGGUUGCAUACAGUGGGCUCUACAUAAGAUUUCAUUUGAACAAAAGAGGCUGCUGCUGCGAAGAACUCGACAAUUGCUGGCCUGGGGCAGCGUCCAGACCCCACUCUGGCCACGGGGGAGCUGCGACGCUAUUGCUGAGCCUUGGCAUUCAUAGCAGACCUGAGGAUCCCACUCCAUCCUCCAGCAGGCCACCGGCCUCCCAGGAUCACCAUCCACCUUGUUCCCUGAAGGUUCCACUGACCUCUGGAACGAGCUCAGGCUUGGGUUCUCCACCGGUUGUGGGGGAUGAAAACCCUGACUCUAAGAUAAAGGCCACUACGUGAACCUGGAGUUCUUCAGAGUCACCAUGUGGAAAAUGUGAUAACACAACAAACCAGAGAAUGUGUCUGGCACUGGGUGGGCUCUGAAGAAAUGUCAGGUUUAUGUCUUGCUCUGUUCCUCAGUUUCCAUCAGAGACACAAGUUGGCCUGUCCCAGAGUCCUUGCUGACACGGCUACCUGAUCCAUGCGGAAUCUCUGCCAUUGAU
This 582-nucleotide long non-coding RNA is filed under the name Equus caballus (horse). RNAcentral's name for it is "lncRNA (ENSECAG00000042742.2)". Lineage: Eukaryota; Metazoa; Chordata; Mammalia; Perissodactyla; Equidae. The record is from RNAcentral.